GACGAACGCUGGCGGCGUGCUUUACACAUGCAAGUCGAGCGAUGAGAUCCCUUCGGGGAAGGAUUAGCGGCGAACGGGUGAGGAACACGUGAGGAAUCUGCCUUCAACACUGGGAUAACUCCGGGAAACCGGGGCUAAUACCGGAUACGAGACCUGCAGGCAUCUGCGGGUCUGGAAAGUUUUUCGGUUGAAGAUGACCUCGCGGCCUAUCAGCUUGUUGGUGAGGUAAUGGCUCACCAAGGCGACGACGGGUAGCCGGCCUGAGAGGGCGACCGGCCACACUGGGACUGAGACACGGCCCAGACUCCUACGGGAGGCAGCAGUGGGGAAUAUUGGGCAAUGGAGGGAACUCUGACCCAGCGACGCCGCGUGCGGGAUGAAGGCCUUCGGGUUGUAAACCGCUUUCAGCAAGGAAGAAGCGAAAGUGACGGUACUUGCAGAAGAAGCACCGGCUAACUAUGUGCCAGCAGCCGCGGUAAUACAUAGGGUGCAAGCGUUGUCCGGAAUUAUUGGGCGUAAAGAGCUCGUAGGUGGUUCGUCACGUCGGAUGUGAAAAUCUGGGGCUUAACCCCAGACCUGCAUUCGGUACGGGCGAGCUAGAGUGUGGUAGGGGAGACUGGAAUUCCUGGUGUAGCGGUGGAAUGCGCAGAUAUCAGGAGGGACACCGAUGGCGAAGGCAGGUCUCUGGGCCAAUACUGACACUGAGGAGCGAAAGCGUGGGGAGCGAACAGGAUUAGAUACCCUGGUAGUCCACGCCGUAAACGGUGGGCGCUAGUUGUGCGAACCUUCCACGGUUUGUGCGACGCAGCUAACGCAUUAAGCGCCCCGCCUGGGGAGUACGAUCGCAAGAUUAAAACUCAAAGGAAUUGACGGGGCCCCGC
RNAcentral lists this ribosomal RNA (881 nucleotides) under uncultured Actinomycetales bacterium. RNAcentral describes it as "bacterial SSU rRNA". It matches the Rfam family "Bacterial small subunit ribosomal RNA", at positions 28 to 924 of the family's 1533-position model. Lineage: Bacteria; Bacillati; Actinomycetota; Actinomycetes; Actinomycetales. The record is from RNAcentral.